GACGAGAAGACUACCUCAAACGGGGAAAAGAGAAGAUAGUGGAGUAAAUUGCAAAAUUACGAUAUUUUGCACCGAGACAAUGACAUCAAUCAGCUCGAAACUUGGACGACGUCAGAUAAUCAUCCACACUAUCAUCAACUUUUUGGGUACAGUUAGACUUGAAGCGCUAAAGUCGAGCUAGGAGAUCUCUCAUUUCAUCACAUCUCCAAGAGCUACAAGAGUAGGUACUAUAUUUUGAGUUAAAAUGACAUGUACAUAGGUAGACCAAAUGUGUUCCCAAGUGUCAGGGACUAAAAUGCUAACUCUUAAAACUUUAUUUAUUUUGGUAUUUUAAAUUGAAAUAUUUUAGUUCGAUAUGAAA
Gossypium raimondii (Peruvian cotton) is the source of this 361-nucleotide long non-coding RNA. RefSeq lists it as uncharacterized. Lineage: Eukaryota; Viridiplantae; Streptophyta; Magnoliopsida; Malvales; Malvaceae. The transcript has 3 exons. The record is from RefSeq and is a predicted model, not a curated record.